RNAcentral lists this transfer RNA (75 nucleotides) under Aurantimonas coralicida. RNAcentral's name for it is "tRNA-Thr". It matches the Rfam family "tRNA". From Rfam's summary of the family: Transfer RNA (tRNA) molecules are approximately 80 nucleotides in length. RNAcentral also lists the same sequence under 8 other names. Lineage: Bacteria; Pseudomonadati; Pseudomonadota; Alphaproteobacteria; Hyphomicrobiales; Aurantimonadaceae. The record is from RNAcentral.
GCUGCCGUAGCUCAGUGGUAGAGCACUCCCUUGGUAAGGGAGAGGUCGAGAGUUCGAGUCUCUCCGGCAGCACCA